UCACUCUUUGUAACUUCUGUUACUGUUUUCCAGGUGCAAGUAUGAAGCCCUCCUCCCCAAACAAACAUUUCAUUCGUGACACAAACCAGCAGAUUCUAGUUCUGGAAGGCAACACCCUUGUGGCGGUUCCAGACAAGAAAGGCAAACGUGGAGAGACCUUUUAUGUGUCAACUCUACCAAGAGCCAGAAGCUCAAAGGCAAAUAAGAUAAUUUUGGCUGUGUCUAAGGGAGAACGCUAUCUCUGCUGUGAUAGAGUAAAAAAACCAAAGCGCCCCUCACUAGAAUUAAAGGUAAGAGCUAAGGAAAUCUCCUCUGUCCUCCAGCUCAGGAAAGUAGAAAUUCCUAGUGCGAGGACCCACAACCUAAACUUUAGCCAAGACCACCCUAAUCUUUGCUUCUUUCUCCACAAAAGUAGCCUGGUCAAGUGUUAGCCAUUUCUCAGUCACAGUAACAAGUGCCUAAGACAGUCAGCUUCUAAAGAGAAAAAGACUUUGGUUCACAGUCUCAGCUAAUUGACUCAUGCUCUGGGGCCUGUGGUAGCACACCACAGUGGAAGCACAUUGGGGUAAGGGAGUCCAGCCUGCUCACUUAAUGGCUAGGAUGCAGAAGAGGGAGAAAGGCUUGAGGUCCCACAAUUCCCUUUGAGGGCACACUGAUCAAUGACUAAGCCCCUCUUAAUGUUCCCAUCGCCUCCCAAUAGCCCCAAAGUGAAGACCAAGGCUUUGACAUGUAGACCUUUGGGGGAUGUUCUAGGCCUAAACUGUAGCAGCCACUAAUAAAUUCUCCUUUGUCUUUCCAAAAGAAAAUGAAAGAACUGAAGUCACUGAGCUCCUAUAAGCUCCUGCCCUUCACUUUCCUGAAGGAAAAGGUUGGUUCCUAUUUCACACUGGAGUCAGCUGCUAAUCGAGGGUACUUUAUCUACACCUGCAACAGACCCAGGCAACCUGUGGGAGUGACAAAGGAGCUGGGGAAGAAAAAUACCCACUUUGAAUUCAUAAAUGCAAAUGUGGAUCUCAGUGAGAUUGAAAACUGAAAACACAAUAGAACAGUUGCCAGACAAGCUAUGACAGCAGAAUUUGGUAUUAGCCUGAUAUCCAUCAACAAAUAGGAAUAACUUUAUAAAUGCUACUUUCAACCAGCAAGUCUGGGGAUUUGAUUUUUUUUUUGUGUGUGUGUGAUUUAUUUCUUUAAAGUGUUUAUAGUUAAUUUAAAAUUUGUAGGCUGAAAUAACUUUAUGGGGGAAAACAAUCUCAAACCUCCAAGGGGUUUCCUAUUUUCUAAAACAUUUCUGACCUCCUCUGGAUGAUUCUAUAUUCCAUGAUACAGCUAGCCUGUUGGUGAGUUACUUCUUCCAGAAGGUAACUGGAGUGAUUCUAGGCUCUCAGAUCAGUCAUACAACAUGUGGAAGUUAGAUGGAUUCUAGGGAAACUCACCAAGCUACAGGUGCAAACACAAAAGUUUCUGUGGAGCUUCAGGGCUUCUGGAGCAUGGCAAGGAGUCUUCCCAGGCAGAAGAUGGGACGAGGACAUGACAAAAGGGUCUGGAGGUGGCAGGGAGACCGAAGGCAGGUAGCAGGGCCCUUGUCACCGGUGGGGGCAUAUCAGUCAGACGAGAUCUAGCUCCGAUCCUCAGCAGGAUCUUAUGCAGGGAAACAAUCAGAUUGGGAACUUGGAGCUUGGGAUUGAAGCCGGAGAGGAGAAGGCUGUGUGCGUUUAACUCUGAAGGGUGCAUUCAAAAUAUUUAAUGCUUAGAUGCAGAAGAUCCCUGCCUAUCCAAGAGCUGUUGUCUGAAAUGAGGACAACCUGAUGGGGACAGCAUGUCCCUCUGUUAUCUGCUGUUCUGUGUCUGUUAGAAAGACAGACCUUACCUAUGUUACCUUAAGACUAAAAGCCAA
Molecule: long non-coding RNA, 1894 nt
Filed under: Cricetulus griseus (Chinese hamster)
Lineage: Eukaryota; Metazoa; Chordata; Mammalia; Rodentia; Cricetidae
Description: lncRNA (ENSCGRG00015039985.1)
Source: RNAcentral